CCAGCAGCCGCGGUAAUACGUAGGUGGCAAGCGUUGUCCGGAUUUAUUGGGCGUAAAGCGAGCGCAGGCGGUUUCUUAAGUCUGAUGUGAAAGCCUUCGGCUCAACCGAAGAAGUGCAUCGGAAACUGGGAAACUUGAGUGCAGAAGAGGACAGUGGAACUCCAUGUGUAGCGGUGAAAUGCGUAGAUAUAUGGAAGAACACCAGUGGCGAAGGCGGCUGUCUGGUCUGUAACUGACGCUGAGGCUCGAAAGCAUGGGUAGCAAACAGGAUUAGAUACCCUGGUAGUCCAUGCCGUAAACGAUGAGUGCUAGGUGUUGGAGGGUUUCCGCCCUUCAGUGCCGCAGCUAACGCAUUAAGCACUCCGCCUGGGGAGUACGACCGCAAGGUUGAAACUCAAAGGAAUUGACGGGGGCCCGCACAAGCGGUGGAGCAUGUGGUUUAAUUCGAAGCAACGCGAAGAACCUUACCAGGUCUUGACAUCCUUUGACCACUCUAGAGAUAGAGCUUUCCCUUCGGGGACAAAGUGACAGGUGGUGCAUGGUUGUCGUCAGCUCGUGUCGUGAGAUGUUGGGUUAAGUCCCGCAACGAGCGCAACCCUUAUUACUAGUUGCCAGCAUUUAGUUGGGCACUCUAGUGAGACUGCCGGUGACAAACCGGAGGAAGGUGGGGACGACGUCAAAUCAUCAUGCCCCUUAUGACCUGGGCUACACACGUGCUACAAUGGAUGGUACAACGAGUUGCGAGACCGCGAGGUUUAGCUAAUCUCUUAAAACCAUUCUCAGUUCGGAUUGUAGGCUGCAACUCGCCUACAUGAAGCCGGAAUCGCUAGUAAUCGCGGAUCAGCAUGCCGCGGUGAAUACGUUCCCGGGCCUUGUACACACCGCCCGU
This 889-nucleotide ribosomal RNA is filed under the name uncultured bacterium. Its description in RNAcentral is "bacterial SSU rRNA". It matches the Rfam family "Bacterial small subunit ribosomal RNA", at positions 508 to 1397 of the family's 1533-position model. The record is from RNAcentral.